Molecule: ribosomal RNA, 253 nt
Filed under: uncultured bacterium
Lineage: Bacteria
Description: partial 16S ribosomal RNA
Rfam family: Bacterial small subunit ribosomal RNA
Source: RNAcentral
UACGAAGGGGGCUAGCGUUGCUCGGAAUCACUGGGCGUAAAGGGUGCGUAGGCGGGUCUUUAAGUCAGGGGUGAAAUCCUGGAGCUCAACUCCAGAACUGCCUUUGAUACUGAGGAUCUUGAGUUCGGGAGAGGUGAGUGGAACUGCGAGUGUAGAGGUGAAAUUCGUAGAUAUUCGCAAGAACACCAGUGGCGAAGGCGGCUUCCUGGACCUGUUCUGACACUGAGGAGCGAAAGCGUGGGGAGCGAUCCGG